CACAUGCAAGUCUACUUGAUCCUUCGGGUGAAGGUGGCGGACGGGUGAGUAACGCGUAAAGAACUUGCCUUACAGACUGGGACAACAUUUGGAAACGAAUGCUAAUACCGGAUAUUAUGAUUGGGUCGCAUGAUCUGGUUAUGAAAGCUAUAUGCGCUGUGAGAGAGCUUUGCGUCCCAUUAGUUAGUUGGUGAGGUAACGGCUCACCAAGACGAUGAUGGGUAGCCGGCCUGAGAGGGUGAACGGCCACAAGGGGACUGAGACACGGCCCUUACUCCUACGGGAGGCAGCAGUGGGGAAUAUUGGACAAUGGACCAAAAGUCUGAUCCAGCAAUUCUGUGUGCACGAUGAAGUUUUUCGGAAUGUAAAGUGCUUUCAGUUGGGAAGAAGUCAGUGACGGUACCAACAGAAGAAGCGACGGCUAAAUACGUGCCAGCAGCCGCGGUAAUACGUAUGUCGCAAGCGUUAUCCGGAUUUAUUGGGCGUAAAGCGCGUCUAGGCGGCUUAGUAAGUCUGAUGUGAAAAUGCGGGGCUCAACCCCGUAUUGCGUUGGAAACUGCUAAACUAGAGUACUGGAGAGGUAGGCGGAACUACAAGUGUAGAGGUGAAAUUCGUAGAUAUUUGUAGGAAUGCCGAUAGG
This 640-nucleotide ribosomal RNA is filed under the name Fusobacterium ulcerans. RNAcentral's name for it is "bacterial SSU rRNA". It matches the Rfam family "Bacterial small subunit ribosomal RNA", at positions 52 to 716 of the family's 1533-position model. Lineage: Bacteria; Fusobacteriati; Fusobacteriota; Fusobacteriia; Fusobacteriales; Fusobacteriaceae. The record is from RNAcentral.